Molecule: transfer RNA, 72 nt
Filed under: Heterocephalus glaber (naked mole-rat)
Lineage: Eukaryota; Metazoa; Chordata; Mammalia; Rodentia; Bathyergidae
Rfam family: tRNA
About the family: Transfer RNA (tRNA) molecules are approximately 80 nucleotides in length. Their secondary structure includes four short double-helical elements and three loops (D, anti-codon, and T loops).
Source: Rfam by way of RNAcentral
AGGGGUACAGCUCAGUGAUAGAGUAUGUACUUAGCAUGUGCAAGACCCUAGGUUCAAUCACUAGCACCCCUA